This 253-nucleotide ribosomal RNA is filed under the name uncultured bacterium. RNAcentral describes it as "partial 16S ribosomal RNA". It matches the Rfam family "Bacterial small subunit ribosomal RNA", at positions 524 to 776 of the family's 1533-position model. The record is from RNAcentral.
UACGUAGGGGGCAAGCGUUGUCCGGAUUUAUUGGGCGUAAAGCGCGUGUAGGCGGCUGGGUAGGUCCGCUGUGAAAACUCGAGGCUCAACCUCGAGACGUCGGCGGAAACCAUCCAGCUAGAGUCCGGAAGAGGAGAGUGGAAUUCCUGGUGUAGCGGUGAAAUGCGCAGAUAUCAGGAGGAACACCGGUGGCGAAGGCGGUUCUCUGGGCCUGUACUGACGCGGAGGAACGAAAGCGUGGGGAGCGAACAGG